UACGUAGGGGGCAAGCGUUGUCCGGAAUCAUUGGGCGUAAAGAGCGUGUAGGCGGCUCGGUAAGUCCGCUGUGAAAGUCCAGGGCUCAACCCUGGAAUGCCGGUGGAAACUGUCGAGCUAGAAUCCGGAAGAGGCGAGUGGAAUUCCUGGUGUAGCGGUGAAAUGCGCAGAUAUCAGGAGGAACACCAAUGGCGAAGGCAGCUCGCUGGGACGGUAUUGACGCUGAGACGCGAAAGCGUGGGGAGCAAACAGG
Molecule: ribosomal RNA, 253 nt
Filed under: uncultured bacterium
Lineage: Bacteria
Description: partial 16S ribosomal RNA
Rfam family: Bacterial small subunit ribosomal RNA
Source: RNAcentral